GCGGGCGUAGCUCAGUUGGUAGAGCAUCAGCCUUCCAAGCUGAGGGUCACGGGUUCGAGCCCCGUCGCCCGCU
Gemmatimonadetes bacterium 13_1_40CM_4_69_8 is the source of this 73-nucleotide non-coding RNA. NCBI's taxonomy places the organism in Bacteria, Pseudomonadati, Gemmatimonadota. The record is from Rfam.